This is a long non-coding RNA of Sciurus carolinensis (gray squirrel), 489 nucleotides long. RefSeq lists it as uncharacterized. The transcript has 3 exons. NCBI's taxonomy places the organism in Eukaryota, Metazoa, Chordata, Mammalia, Rodentia, Sciuridae. The record is from RefSeq and is a predicted model, not a curated record.
UUCUAGCAAGAAGCAGCAAAGUCCACCUGGGAGUUGCAGAAAGAGGCGUGGGGGUCGAGGCAGCCCAGCUAGGAUCCACACGAUGGGCCCCCGCAGGCGUUCAAGGAAGAACUGAUCCACGGUGGUGCUUCCGGGGGACAGGGAUCUGAAGCAAGGAACGACUGCCCUCCCCUGGCAAAGCAUCCACAGAGUGAAUCAUCCCUUAGGCGCAGGAGAGCUCACGGCCUCACAGAACAGAAGAUUGCUGUUGCUGGGAAACAAGUCACAUAAUGACUUUAUGAGAUAGGCAUUAUUUUCUCCAUUUAGAAGACAUGAAAAGAAGCUCAGAGUUUAAGAAAUCCAGAAGUCACAUGGUGAAAAGCUGCCAUGAGUCAAAUGGCUUUCCCCUGCCACAUACUUCCACCAUGAUGUUCUGCCUCACCCCAGGUCCAGAGCAAUAGAGUCCACCAACCAUGAACUGAGACCUCUGAAACAGAAACAAAAUAAAGU